GUGGUAAAUAGGUUGUUCCGAGUCUUGAUGGAUGUUAGUUUAGCUAGUUCUAGUCAUGAUUAGGUUUUGGUUAUGGAGAUGUUUACAUUAUAACUACAGUUAGGUACUUCUUUUUUAUGUUUUGCCAAUUAAUUCAGGAAGUUUACCUUAUUAUUUUCAAUAAUGAUCUCAUCUAACUAUCCAAUUUCAAAUCUUUCUAGAAACUUUAUAAUGUUUCACUACAAAAUUCCCAAUUUUAUAGAAGAUCUCGUGUAUAAAUUCUAAAUGGAUUUUCUUUG
Molecule: long non-coding RNA, 278 nt
Filed under: Phoenix dactylifera (date palm)
Lineage: Eukaryota; Viridiplantae; Streptophyta; Magnoliopsida; Arecales; Arecaceae
Description: long non-coding RNA (PDAC_LNC005345)
Source: RNAcentral